RNAcentral lists this ribosomal RNA (540 nucleotides) under Erysiphe arcuata. Its description in RNAcentral is "partial large subunit ribosomal RNA". It matches the Rfam family "Eukaryotic large subunit ribosomal RNA", at positions 131 to 682 of the family's 3401-position model. The record is from RNAcentral. Lineage: Eukaryota; Fungi; Ascomycota; Leotiomycetes; Helotiales; Erysiphaceae.
UCGGAGUCCGAGUUGUAAUUUGUAGAAGAUGCUUUGGGUUGUGGGUUCGCCUAAGUUCCUUGGAACAGGACGUCAUAGAGGGUGAGAAUCCCGUAUGUGGCCGAGGCCUGCGCCUGUGUAAAGCUCUUUCAACGAGUCGAGUUGUUUGGGAAUGCAGCUCAAAAUGGGUGGUAAAUUUCAUCUAAAGCUAAAUAUAGGCCACGAGACCGAUAGCGCACAAGUAGAGUGAUCGAAAGAUGAAAAGCACUUUGGAAAGAGAGUUAAACAGUACGUGAAAUUGUUGAAAGGGAAGCGCUUGCAACCAGACUUGGGCACUGCUGAUCAUCCAGAGUUCUCUCUGGGGCACUCGACAGUGCACAGGCCAGCAUCGGUUCGGGUGGCUGGAUAAAGGCCGUAGGAACGUAGCUCCUCUCGGGGAGUGUUAUAGCCUGCGGUGCCAUGCAGCCCAGCCGGACCGAGGACCGCGCCUUCGGGCUAGGAUGCUGGCGUAAUGGUUGUAAGCGACCCGUCUUGAAACACGGACCAACGGAGUCUAACAUC